Molecule: ribosomal RNA, 484 nt
Filed under: uncultured bacterium
Lineage: Bacteria
Description: partial 16S ribosomal RNA
Rfam family: Bacterial small subunit ribosomal RNA
Source: RNAcentral
AUUGAACGCUGGCGGCAGGCCUAACACAUGCAAGUCGAGCGGAUGAAGGGAGCUUGCUCCUGGAUUCAGCGGCGGACGGGUGAGUAAUGCCUAGGAAUCUGCCUGGUAGUGGGGGAUAACGUCCGGAAACGGGCGCUAAUACCGCAUACGUCCUGAGGGAGAAAGAGGGGGAUCUUCGGACCUCACGCUAUCAGAUGAGCCUAGGUCGGAUUAGCUAGUUGGUGGGGUAAAGGCCUACCAAGGCGACGAUCCGUAACUGGUCUGAGAGGAUGAUCAGUCACACUGGAACUGAGACACGGUCCAGACUCCUACGGGAGGCAACAGUGGGGAAUAUUGGACAAUGGGCGAAAGCCUGAUCCAGCCAUGCCGCGUGUGUGAAGAAGGUCUUCGGAUUGUAAAGCACUUUAAGUUGGGAGGAAGGGCAGUAAGUUAAUACCUUGCUGUUUUGACGUUACCAACAGAAUAAGCACCGGCUAACUUCGUG